Molecule: ribosomal RNA, 466 nt
Filed under: uncultured bacterium
Lineage: Bacteria
Description: partial 16S ribosomal RNA
Rfam family: Bacterial small subunit ribosomal RNA
Source: RNAcentral
ACGAACGCUGGCGGCGUGCUUAACACAUGCCAGUCGAACGGAAAGGCCCUGCUUUUGUGGGGUGCUCGAGUGGCGAACGGGUGAGUAACACGUGAGUAACCUGCCCUUGACUUUGGGAUAACUUCAGGAAACUGGGGCUAAUACCGGAUAGGAGCUCCUGCUGCAUGGUGGGGGUUGGAAAGUUUCGGCGGUUGGGGAUGGACUCGCGGCUUAUCAGCUUGUUGGUGGGGUAGUGGCUUACCAAGGCUUUGACGGGUAGCCGGCCUGAGAGGGUGACCGGCCACAUUGGGACUAAGAUACGGCCCAGACUCCUACGGGAGGCAGCAGUGGGGAAUAUUGCACAAUGGGCGGAAGCCUGAUGCAGCAACGCCGCGUGCGGGAUGACGGCCUUCGGGUGGUAAACCGCUUUCGCCUGUGACGAAGCGUGAGUGACGGUAAUGGGUAAAGAAGCACCGGCUAACUACGU